Molecule: long non-coding RNA, 2165 nt
Organism: Gasterosteus aculeatus aculeatus (three-spined stickleback)
Lineage: Eukaryota; Metazoa; Chordata; Actinopteri; Perciformes; Gasterosteidae
Source: Ensembl
CAUUAUGGCUCAUUAUACCUGCUCUUGAUGACCGGGCCUGCUGAUGGGGACCAACCUUCGCACGUGUACAAUGUGACGAACAAAACAGUCAUGAAAUGUUUCCUCGUCAUAUCCGUGGUGUCCAGGCAGAAUGGAGCGAGGUGGGGCAUUGUGUAUUCUGGGGUUACAGGCUUGUAAUACCUAAAUAAAGCCCGGAAGGAAAGAGAUAGCGAGAGGUUGUGAAGGAAAAAGAUUGUUGCAAAGAAAUGGAGUGAAAAGACAAGAAUCUUAUGAGGGGGAACGGUAGAAAGAGAGCCAUGAACGCUCAAGCAGCAGAAAAGCAUUGUGGUCAUCUGCAGUGCGAUGAGUCACCUGUAGGCAACACACACACAGACACACCCACUCUCACACACACACACACACACACACUUUACGCACAAACUCAAGAGCGACAGGCUUUGCAAUCAGAGCCCGCAGCUGUGUUGUCACAGUGCCAUAUUGCCUCAUAACCUGCAUUUUCUGAAUGUGUUUCAUCGUCUAAUCUGAAGCACAGUCCUGUGCAGAAUGUGUGAGAAAAAAAUGAAAGGUGAUGGAAUUUAAAAAUCAAAACAAAACUACAAAAUGAUUCGACCUUUUCAAAGCCUUCCUGGACAAAUUGAGACAUCAACGUGAUGAUUACCUUAAGCUGUCGAACAAAAUGUUAAUGAAAGAGAUAUUUGGUCUUUGGAUGGUUUACUGCCGGCAUCAUGGUGCUGCUCUUGUGAUUAGUUGAAAUCAAAUCUGUGGAUUAAAUGAACCAUCUGUAGACUGUGUAUAUUUUUCCUUCUGCUGCCCCUCUGCUCCUCCUAUAGUUACAGUAUAUAGGCUUGGAAAGGCUUCUUCAAAUGAGCUGUGAUCCACGUGACAAAGUCAUUCAGCAUAAUACGGACACAACAGAUUUAUAGUAGAAUUACAAGUAAUUAAAUAAAAUUAUUAGGACUGAGCCUGUUUCAAUAACUUUGGAUGCUAUUUUUUUCCCCAAAAUAGUUGUGAGAAAUUCUAUUAUUGGCAUUUUUAAGACCGUUCAAGGCCAUGAUUUAAUGAUAAAAACUCAACUCAACUCCUACCGUCAUGUUGGCCAAAAUGUUAGUGACAUUUUUAUGUAAACGAACACGUUUAUAUCCACAACAUGCAAUAUUGAAAUCUGCAAAAAUGCCUUAGGCCUUGUUCAUAUAUCAUGCAAUUGGUCAAUAUAGUCUUUAUUCAGAAGGGUCUAAUUAAAUUUGCCACAAAACAUUGUUUUAUUAUCAAUAAUCUGUUAAUUAUUAUUAUGUGUUUGUAUUGUUUGCAAGGGUAAUUAAAAUCAUCUUCAAAUGCCUUGUUUUGUACAAUCAACGGAAAAGAAGGAAUAGUUCUUAAAGGAAAAUAAAUCAACACAAAGAGGUCAGUAAAACACAUUUUUGAUAUUUGCAAAGACAAAAAAAUGAAUUACAAAAACAGUAAUAAAUUCACAUGCUCCUGCAUUAUCAAAAUUAUGUGACAUUUUUAUUGAAACGUGUGUUAUUCACCCCACCAGCACGCAACUGAGCUAAUCAAACAUAAAUGUUCAUGUUUUUGUAAACCAAAUACUUUGAGUUUGAGUUUUAGUAAAACCAACGAGAAGAAUUACGUUUAGCGAAAUCAAGAAAAAAAAAAAAAAUUUGACUGUUUCUUAAGGAAUUCAAUAUUAAAUUUGUUGCUUUCUUCGUCGCAAAUAUCUGCUUCAGUCGCUAUGUUUUUUUCAGAGGCAAAGGACUAGCAAAGCUCGCAAGGUUAGUGUAAAACAAUAACAACGCUUUUUCACUGCAGCCUGGGAGGAAAUGGUGUGAGCUUUCAAAGGCGACAUCAGCUAAUUCCCAAACUGUCAGUCUAUCUCUGUGUGGUAAAACAAUAUUUAGCUUGAUGAGUGUGAAAUAUCUGCCUAUUGAUAGCUGCCACGAAGUGUUUCCAAUGACUGUGUGGGUAAUUUAGAGACUAACAUUAGGUUUAUUUUUGCCUUCUGGAGGAUAAAAAUAUAGAAAAGCAAAAAAAAAGAGCAGAUCUUGUCAUCAUUCAUUCUUAUUCUAUCUGCGUUCAACUCCCCCCUCUCUAGUUCUCCCCCCUCAGCCAGCUUCAUCUCUUUUCAAGCCUCAUCACCAACACACAACACCACCCCAUAAUCCCCCCCC